AGCUAUAUGAGCGGUAAAGAGACUUAAAAUCUCUCGCCGCAAGGAUUGUGGGUUCGAGUCCCACCGCCCCUACCA
Molecule: transfer RNA, 75 nt
Filed under: Collinsella sp. AF28-5AC
Lineage: Bacteria; Bacillati; Actinomycetota; Coriobacteriia; Coriobacteriales; Coriobacteriaceae
Also listed under: 1 other name
Description: tRNA-OTHER
Source: RNAcentral